AGAGGCCACCACAGUUGGGUUCAUUUUGUAGUAAAGUACCCUAUGAUCAUCUUUUGUAUAUGAUGGUAAAUGAUGAAAGGAAAAGAAAGUAAUGUGUAUUUUGAAGCAAUUGUGAUGUAAGAAAGAAAUGAUGAAACGAAAUGUAAGAAAUUCGAAGAAUUACGAGUUGGAUGUAUGUGUAUGAUCUAAAUUGAAUCAUAGUACAAAAGAAUGUUUAGUUUUUCCUUUC
RNAcentral lists this long non-coding RNA (229 nucleotides) under Ananas comosus (pineapple). RNAcentral describes it as "long non-coding RNA (ACOM_LNC000978)". The record is from RNAcentral. Lineage: Eukaryota; Viridiplantae; Streptophyta; Magnoliopsida; Poales; Bromeliaceae.